This 1273-nucleotide long non-coding RNA is filed under the name Homo sapiens (human). Its description in RNAcentral is "HSALNT0354789". The record is from RNAcentral. Lineage: Eukaryota; Metazoa; Chordata; Mammalia; Primates; Hominidae.
UGCUCUCACCACUUCCUCCCUCCCUCUCCGGCUUCCUUCUACCUCCCCUCACUCUCCCCCCUUUCUCGCCUUGCUCAGGGGGACUCGCUAUCUCUUUCUCUGUCUCUCCUUGGAACAGCGGCCCCCAAAAUGCAACUGAAGCCAUUUCCCUGCUCUGAGACCUCGGACAAGUCACUCCCCGCCAGGGCUGCAGUUUCCUGUCUCUAAAAGGAGUUGAUGAGCAGCUCUAGCUUCAGGGAUGUUUCCCGGACCGAGUGUGGCUUCAGAGUCAGAGAGAUGUGAGUUCAAGACCACUUGCUUAGGAGGAAGCAAAAGAGGAGGAGAAGGCAGAGGAAGGCGACGACUGAGAACAAAAGAAGAGCAGUGGCAAAGGAGUGAGCUCCAUGAGUAAUUUUUCAACUUAAAAACAAUUCCCAUUUCCCAGCCCUGCGGAGGCAGGCGCAGCGGAUCUGAGGCGAGGCCGGCCCUCUGACUCGCAGGAGCCUGCCAAGGGGCCCCGGCAAGCUGCUUCAAAGUCGGCCUCUUCAGCACAGGCGCUUUUAAACUUCACACGGGAAACUUUCCAGGGCUGACUUUUUGCACUUUGUUUCCAAAUCAAGAGAUGGGGAAGUCCCUCUCAGCCCAGCGGGGAGGCGAUCACACUGCGAGACUUGCCCUAGGGUUUUUGGCUUGGCACUGAGCUCCUCAAUAGGGCAAAUGGGCUGAUCCCCAGAUGUAGGGGUGUGGGGCCCUGUCCCCUGCCCGAAAUGGGUUCCCAGGAAGAAUUCAGGGUGUGGGCUUGGCAGCCAGUGCCCCCCUACCCCCCCUCCGUCCCCAGGGUCCCCAGGGGGGAUAAGGCCUCUCUUCCUGUAUCCUCCCAAGUCUGUUUCUACCUGGGUUCCAGGUGGCUUUUGUGGACAAGAUGCGACCACCUCAUGAGGAUCAAGAUGUACUCCUUGCUCUUCUCUGCACAGCAGUCUCAAAACUAGGCUACACCGUCUGUCUCCUCUGGUCACCAUUUUGAGAGGCAGCAAGGGUCUUCCUAACCCUCAGCUCCCUCUGAUUUUUGGAAUUCAGAUUUGGAUUUUGGAUGUACAUCAAGAGGCUGGCUCCACGCAUUUUAAUUAAGUUGUCUUUUUUCAUUUAUUACUAAUACACUCCUCUUAACUAUGAUUUAUUGGUUAAACAAAGCACCAUAAGCCGUCACUUAUUCAUCUUAAUUUCAACAAAAUUAAAGUAGUCGCUGUUAGAUUGCACCUAAUUGCACUUGCAAUGAAAAGAACGGAGAUGUUAA